AGGCAGAGCUGGGCAUUUUGCAUUUUUACUGUUUAAUGGAAAAUGGUUCAUUAGUUGAGGACCCCUUGAAUGGUCCUAAGAGACCCUGAGGGUUCCUGUAGAGUAGUUUGAAAACCACUGCUCAGAGGAAAGGGAUGUAAUCUGGCUCCCCUGCCCCAAGCAAAGAAGGAAAGAGUGGGGUCAGUGAGCUACGCUGUCUCCAGACCCUGGUGAAGAGGAAGGAAGACUCCUGUGUACCUGGAGACUUGUGCUCAUAUCAGCCCCCAGGGCCCCCAAGACUCCAGUGGGUUUUACGUACUCUUGCCACCAAAUGAUUCUCUUCAAACACAGAAGAAAAUGUGAAUGUAUCGGGCAGAUGAGGAGAGAGGUGACAGAGGGAUCAGCCUUCUCUUGAGCAAGAUGUAAGGGAAAUAGAAUUCACUUACGCAAAUAAGGAAAGCCUUCACCAGAAGCUUCACUCGACCGUCCUCCUCCUUCCCCUCCCCUCACCCCCUCACCACCUUCCUUUCA
RNAcentral lists this long non-coding RNA (510 nucleotides) under Androctonus crassicauda. The record is from RNAcentral. Lineage: Eukaryota; Metazoa; Arthropoda; Arachnida; Scorpiones; Buthidae.